UACAGAGGGGGCAAGCGUUGUUCGGAAUUACUGGGCGUAAAGGGCGCGUAGGCGGCCUGUUAAGUCGAACGUGAAAUCCCCGGGCUCAACCCGGGAACUGCGUCCGAUACUGGCAGGCUUGAAUCCGGGAGAGGGAUGCGGAAUUCCAGGUGUAGCGGUGAAAUUCGUAGAUAUCGGGAGGAACACCAGUGGCGAAGGCGGCGAUCUGGGAAGAUACUGACGCUGAGGUGCGAAAGCGUGGGGAGCAAACAGG
RNAcentral lists this ribosomal RNA (253 nucleotides) under uncultured bacterium. Its description in RNAcentral is "partial 16S ribosomal RNA". It matches the Rfam family "Bacterial small subunit ribosomal RNA", at positions 524 to 776 of the family's 1533-position model. The record is from RNAcentral.